RNAcentral lists this transfer RNA (59 nucleotides) under Galidictis fasciata. RNAcentral's name for it is "tRNA-Ser". Lineage: Eukaryota; Metazoa; Chordata; Mammalia; Carnivora; Eupleridae. The record is from RNAcentral.
GAGAAAGUAUGCAAGAACUGCUAACUCAUGCUUCCAUACCUAAAAAUAUGGCUUCCUCA